AGUGAACGCUGGCGGUAGGCCUAACACAUGCAAGUCGAACGGCAGCACAGUAAGAGCUUGCUCUUACGGGUGGCGAGUGGAGGACGGGUGAGGAAUACAUCGGAAUCUACUUUUUCGUGGGGGAUAACGUAGGGAAACUUACGCUAAUACCUCAUACGACCUACGGGUGAAAGCAGGGGAUCUUCGGACCUUGCGCGAUUGAAUGAGCCGAUGUCGGAUUAGCUAGUUGGCGCGGUAAAGGCGCACCAAGGCGACGAUCCGUAGCUGGUCUGAGAGGAUGAUCAGGCACACUGGAACUGAGACACGGUCCAGACUCCUACGGGAGGCAGCAGUGGGGAAUAUUGGCUAAUGCGCGCAAGUCCGCUCCAGGCAUUCCGCGUGCGUGUAGAAGGCCUUCGGGUUGUAAAGCACUUUUGUUGGGCAAGAAAAUCAGCAGGUUAAUACCCCGCCGUUCUGACGGUACCCUAAGAAUAAGCACCCGCUAACUUCGUG
Molecule: ribosomal RNA, 492 nt
Filed under: uncultured bacterium
Lineage: Bacteria
Description: partial 16S ribosomal RNA
Rfam family: Bacterial small subunit ribosomal RNA
Source: RNAcentral